ACCGGAAACUGCCCCGAUCCGAGGACCUUCAUGGGCGGAAUCCGCUCGGACUGAAACAGAGCCUCCCGUUUAUCCUGGUGAGGCGUGCCCGUGAAGGACAUUUUUACGUGUAAGCAAAGCGCUUUGCUCGGCGAUGGGCGAUGAUACGGAGCGGUGACGAUGCCCGAGCCUUACUAUCCAUCAACCUUCUCCGCCUUGUGCUGUUGUUACCCGCAUUCCACUUCUUGUAUCCCGGCUCUGUUGUGAUUCUACUCAUGGGACCGGUAUUAAUAAUCUUGAUGGGGUCGAAUUCUCUGCUUCCCCGCCUGCCGCUGC
Molecule: long non-coding RNA, 315 nt
Filed under: Spirodela polyrhiza (greater duckweed)
Lineage: Eukaryota; Viridiplantae; Streptophyta; Magnoliopsida; Alismatales; Araceae
Description: long non-coding RNA (SPOL_LNC001692)
Source: RNAcentral